AGCGGCGGACGGGUGAGUAAUGCUUGGGAAUCUGCCCAAUAGUGGGGGAUAACGUGUGGAAACGCACGCUAAUACCGCAUACGUCCUACGGGAGAAAGCAGGGGAUCUUCGGACCUUGCGCUAUUGGAUGAGCCCAAGUCAGAUUAGCUAGUUGGUGGGGUAAUGGCUCACCAAGGCGACGAUCUGUAGCUGGUCUGAGAGGAUGAUCAGCCACACUGGGACUGAGACACGGCCCAGACUCCUACGGGAGGCAGCAGUGGGGAAUAUUGCACAAUGGGCGAAAGCCUGAUGCAGCCAUGCCGCGUGUGUGAAGAAGGCUCUAGGGUUGUAAAGCACUUUCAGUGGGGAGGAAAAGUUCAAAAUUAAUACUUUUGAACCUUGACGUUACCUGCAGAAGAAGCACCGGCAAACUCCGUGCCAGCAGCCGCGGUAAUACGGAGGGUGCGAGCGUUAAUCGGAAUUACUGGGCGUAAAGCGCGCGUAGGUGGUUUGAUAAGCUAGCUGUGAAAGCCCUGGGCUCAACCUGGGAACUGCAGUUAGAACUGUCUGGCUAGAGUAUAGUAGAGGGUGGCGGAAUUUCCUGUGUAGCGGUGAAAUGCGUAGAUAUAGGAAGGAACAUCAGUGGCGUGCGGCCACCUGGACUAAUACUGACACUGAGUGCGAAGCGUGGGGAGCAACAGAUAGAUACCUUGUUAGUCCACGCCGA
RNAcentral lists this ribosomal RNA (706 nucleotides) under uncultured bacterium. RNAcentral's name for it is "bacterial SSU rRNA". It matches the Rfam family "Bacterial small subunit ribosomal RNA", at positions 94 to 803 of the family's 1533-position model. The record is from RNAcentral.